This 254-nucleotide ribosomal RNA is filed under the name Escherichia coli. Its description in RNAcentral is "partial 23S ribosomal RNA". It matches the Rfam family "Bacterial large subunit ribosomal RNA", at positions 2694 to 2925 of the family's 2925-position model. Lineage: Bacteria; Pseudomonadati; Pseudomonadota; Gammaproteobacteria; Enterobacterales; Enterobacteriaceae. The record is from RNAcentral.
GGAGUGGACGCAUCACUGGUGUUCGGGUUGUCAUGCCAAUGGCACUGCCCGGUAGCUAAAUGCGGAAGAGAUAAGUGCUGAAAGCAUCUAAGCACGAAACUUGCCCCGAGAUGAGUUCUCCCUGACUCCUUGAGAGUCCUGAAGGAACGUUGAAGACGACGACGUUGAUAGGCCGGGUGUGUAAGCGCAGCGAUGCGUUGAGCUAACCGGUACUAAUGAACCGUGAGGCUUAACCUUACAACGCCGAAGCUGUU